UAUUGGUAUUUUUUAAGAUCCCAUUUGGUUCGGAAGAUAAGCGUAUUCCGGCUAUUCCACCAAACGAAGUCAUUUUUUGUUUAAGGAAGGAUUCUUAUAAUAAAAUAAAAUUAAAAUUAAAAUUAUAGGAUAGUUUAGUAUAGCUUUGUAAACUAUAAGAUAACAAAGUAAAAAAUCUACUGCCCAAUAAAACUUGGAGUUUCAAAAAUAAAAAUAAGCUGUAGAAAUAUUUUGAUUUUUAAAAAAAAUAAAUAAAUAAAUAAAUAAAGAUAGAAAUACAGAACAACUAAGUUUUAAACUUAAUUAGAACGUCAUACAUCAACCAUUAAAUUUUUUACCAUUUGCACUAAGAACAGUUAAUUGCAUUACAGCUUAUUUGAUUUAUGGCUUUUUACAUAUUACGCUAUCGGCUAUUCACAU
This 420-nucleotide long non-coding RNA is filed under the name Ananas comosus (pineapple). Its description in RNAcentral is "long non-coding RNA (ACOM_LNC025482)". The record is from RNAcentral. Lineage: Eukaryota; Viridiplantae; Streptophyta; Magnoliopsida; Poales; Bromeliaceae.